RNAcentral lists this ribosomal RNA (248 nucleotides) under uncultured Parasutterella sp. RNAcentral describes it as "partial 16S ribosomal RNA". It matches the Rfam family "Bacterial small subunit ribosomal RNA", at positions 524 to 771 of the family's 1533-position model. Lineage: Bacteria; Pseudomonadati; Pseudomonadota; Betaproteobacteria; Burkholderiales; Sutterellaceae. The record is from RNAcentral.
UACGUAGGGUGCGAGCGUUAAUCGGAAUUACUGGGCGUAAAGGGUGUGCAGGCGGUUUUGCAAGAUGGAUGUGAAAGCCCCGGGCUUAACCUGGGAAAGCCAUACAUGACUGCAAGACUAGAGUGCGUCAGAGGGGGGUGGAAUUCCAAGUGUAGCAGUGAAAUGCGUAGAUAUUUGGAAGAACACCGAUGGCGAAGGCAGCCCCCUGGGACGCAACUGACGCUCAUACACGAAAGCGUGGGGAGCAA